This is a long non-coding RNA of Sapajus apella (tufted capuchin), 438 nucleotides long. RefSeq lists it as uncharacterized. The record is from RefSeq and is a predicted model, not a curated record. The transcript is spliced from 2 exons. NCBI's taxonomy places the organism in Eukaryota, Metazoa, Chordata, Mammalia, Primates, Cebidae.
GUUUACAGAGAUAUAGUUAGAACUGCCUCGGUAAUGGUGGACUGCCUCUGUAAUGGUGGACUGCCUCUGUAAUGGAGGACUGCCCCAGUAAUGGCGGAUGCUCUCCCCCACCACAGAGUUGGACUGUCCCAGGUCCAGCUGCAUUUGUUGUGAAAUUUUCAAUCCAGAGCAUUUCAGAUUGCUGGUCUUUGUGGGGUGGGACCUGCUGAGCUAGAUCACCUAGCUCCUGUUUCAGCCCCAUUUUUUCCAGUUAAAUGGGCAGCUCUGUCUCCCAGGUGUUCCAGGGGCCUGUUGAAACAGCCGCCCAGAUUUGUGUGAGUUUUUGUGCAGAGACCCACUGCACAGGCUGAAACAGCCAUGCUGAAAACUCAUGAUGCUUUUCAGUCCAGCAAUCUCCUGGUGUGUGGCAGUAAAAACUCGUUUGGAAAUGCGGUGAUC